AGCGAACGCUGGCGGCAGGCUUAACACAUGCAAGUCGAGCGGGCGUAGCAAUACGUCAGCGGCAGACGGGUGAGUAACGCGUGGGAACAUACCUUUUGGUUCGGAACAACACAGGGAAACUUGUGCUAAUACCGGAUAAGCCCUUACGGGGAAAGAUUUAUCGCCGAAAGAUUGGCCCGCGUCUGAUUAGCUAGUUGGUGAGGUAACGGCUCACCAAGGCGACGAUCAGUAGCUGGUCUGAGAGGAUGAUCAGCCACAUUGGGACUGAGACACGGCCCAAACUCCUACGGGAGGCAGCAGUGGGGAAUAUUGGACAAUGGGCGCAAGCCUGAUCCAGCCAUGCCGCGUGAGUGAUGAAGGCCCUAGGGUUGUAAAGCUCUUUUGUGCGGGAAGAUAAUGKCGGUACCGCAA
This 411-nucleotide ribosomal RNA is filed under the name bacterium Ellin352. Its description in RNAcentral is "bacterial SSU rRNA". It matches the Rfam family "Bacterial small subunit ribosomal RNA", at positions 29 to 483 of the family's 1533-position model. The record is from RNAcentral. Lineage: Bacteria; Pseudomonadati; Pseudomonadota; Alphaproteobacteria; Hyphomicrobiales; Nitrobacteraceae.